Molecule: ribosomal RNA, 406 nt
Filed under: uncultured bacterium
Lineage: Bacteria
Description: partial 16S ribosomal RNA
Rfam family: Bacterial small subunit ribosomal RNA
Source: RNAcentral
AUUGAAUGCUGGCGGCAGGCCUAACACAUGCAAGUCGAACGAGUGGCGGACGGGUGAGUAAUGUCUGGGAAACUGCCUGAUGGAGGGGGAUAACUACUGGAAACGGUAGCUAAUACCGCAUACCAUCAGAUGUGCCCAGUUGGGAUUGGAUGGUAGGUGGGGUAACGGCUCACCUAGGCGACGAUCCCUAGCUGGUCUGAGAGGAUGACCAGCCACAUUGGAACUGAGACACGGUCCAGAUUCGUACGGGGGGCAGCAGUGGGGAAUAUUGCAAAAUGGGCGCAAGCCUGAUGCAGCCAGGCCGCGUGUGGGAAGAAGGCCUUCGGGUUGUAAAGCACUUUCAGCGGGGAGGCGUUACCCGCAGAAGAAGCACCGGCUAACUCCGUGCCAGCAGCCGCGGUAAUUC